This is a long non-coding RNA of Lycium barbarum (goji berry), 2492 nucleotides long. RefSeq lists it as uncharacterized. NCBI's taxonomy places the organism in Eukaryota, Viridiplantae, Streptophyta, Magnoliopsida, Solanales, Solanaceae. The transcript has 7 exons. The record is from RefSeq and is a predicted model, not a curated record.
ACUACUUAAAAUCCUUUCCAAUUUGGUGAAAUAAAGGAUAAUAUUAUAUUGCUUUACAUUGAUUUCUACUUGUACUAUUUUUUUUUUUUAAAACAUGACCAGUGAAGUGUCCCACUGGUUUAUUUUAUUAAUAAUAUCUCAAUUGAGAUAAGUCCAACAAAAACUAAAGUUAAGCAAUAAAAGGAAAGAAAGGUCCAGAAGAAUAAAAGAUGAAAUAGGAAAGUAAAGUUCAGGUGACGAUCUCUCUUCUUCAAAUAUUGAGCUUCACGGACCAUGAUCGCUAUGGAUUUGUCAUCAUUUUUCAUUGAUCGAAGGUGAGCUUUGGUCUUGUAAUUGUUGGUUGUUGCCACUUAUGCUACAUAAGAAAAAGUAGUUCCAAAGACCAAAGGAGCAGAAGAGGCUUCAUAUAGCAAAAACGAAGUGCCGGAUAAUUGAUAUGUAUUUCUACUGCAGGCAAGGAAAAUUAUUGUCAGCCUACUAAAGACACUCAUAAAGGAGAGGAGCUUUCAAGCAAACUCAACACAAUAUGCUUGGUUACCUGAUGAAUGAAGAAGCAAAUAGGUACAAAAUUAACAAAUGAUGAGAUGAUUGAUAUAAUCAUAACCAUUUUGUACUCUUUCCACUACUUCUGUGAUGGCUGUCGAAUAUCUUCAUGAUCAUCCAAAAGUUCUUGAAGAACAAAGAAAAGAACACAUGGCAAUUAGAGAAAAGAAAAAGCAUGAGGAUCCUAUUGAUUACAACGAUUACAAGGCGAUGCGGUUCACACGUGCGAUAAGUUCUAUGUUAUUUUGCUUCCUUGUGUACACUGACAGUACAUUUAUUUUUCUUCACAGAAUCAGGUGACUAAAAGAUACCAAAAAGAGUAAAUUAGAUAUUUUAUUAACACGUUAAAAUUACGUUGAGUAAAAAUUUAUUACUACAUUAUUAGUCUAUAUGAGAUAAAUCAUUAAUUUAGAUGGAACAGUUUGUCAACUGCAAGGUCAGCAUACUGAAUCUAUAUAUUUUUGCUGGUGCAGUUGAUUUUAGAGACCUCCAGGUAAGCAACAAUAGUAAAUAGGGUUAUGAUAAAAACCACUCAAGAUUUUGAAAUAAAUGGUAAGUAAGUUGGGGGAAAAUCUCAUGCAUAUUUUGUUUAAAUUUUAUGCACAGUCAAUGUAAAGAUUAUUUUUCUACUAUCAUGUUAUCCAAAGAAUACCUUAAAAAUAAAGCAGCAGUUAACUUAUUAUAACAGGUAAAGGUAAAGAUGACCUGAUGUUAUAAAUUUUUUUACACUUCACAUAUAUAUAACUUAAACUUAUUGUAUAUUUGUAUGCUUUGAGUGAUUGCUGUAAUUAUGGGCAUCAGAUGCAGGGACAAUAUAUUUCUCAUUUAGACUCAUUAAAAUCUUUAAUAUAAUAAUAGAUGUAUACUAUAUGAUAUUGAGAAAUUUGUAUGUGUAUAAGCUUGCUGAACUAUUUCAUUAUUUUGUCGGAGAAUUUACCUCCGAGACUUUAUAGUGGUGUUCCUGCAACCUAUUAGUACUUUUGUUCUAAUAGGAUGAUUUCUGGUAUGAAUGAGUGUGAUUUUGGCGAUUAUGCCUUUGGUAGUCCGCAAAAUGUUUCACACACAUGCAAUGAUGCCAUAUCUGAAGCAAAUAACAUUGUUUGUGAAUAUUUAAAUAAUUAUGACGUGGUUUUUAAUGCGUGUUAUCUAUAGUGGAACAAUAGCGAUUUAGGGAAAUGGUAAUUUUUUCCAUUUACUCAACUUCUUAAAUUUGUGUUUCUGCUAGAAGUGAAUGGUAUUUUCCCCUGAGCAAUAUACUAACAUGAAUGUAGGUGUUGAUGUGUAUUUGAGCUAAGAAAGGCACUUAUUUUAACCUUCCAAAGGUUCAGAAAGCCGCCAGUCAUGCAUAUAGCCAACUGCCUUAUAACCAUCUGGAUGUUCAGAAAGCCGCCACUCAUGCAUAUAGCCAACUUGCUUAUAGCUGGAUGAUGUGCAGCGUGUUAUAACUGAUGAAGUGUUACUUCUGUGGCAGUGUUCUGAAUUACUGUGAUGCAGAUAGGAAGAUUCAUAUUCUUACAUUACUAGAACGACUUCAGAACCACAUUCUUAUUUCAAUUUUCAGGUUUUGCCAACAAAUUUUUGGAGCACAUCUUUUUGCCAAUGCACUGUCAAGCUAUUAUCUUUUUGCCACAAGACUGCCUUUUUGAAAAGCUACAUUACAACCAUAUGUGACGCCCCAUGCUUUAAAAAGGUAUUUUGUCAACCAUGGCGUCGCACAACUACAACAUGCAUGACUGGUACUAAGAAAAUACUUUUUCUAUAAAUAUGUGGUAUAAAUGAUGUAUAUAUGACAGUGCAAUCAUCAAUGUAAUAGACAAAUGUAUAUAUGCAUAAACAGUGCAAACUUAUUUUAGUUGUCUUAUACUAUCUUACCUCAUUACUUACGAUAAUCUUCUUACUGUUGGAUAUUUUAAAUCAUCCCUGAAUAUUGUGAAAGUGAACGAUUUUUA